GGCAGAAGAGGUCAUGGCACUGCUCUGCUAAAGAGUGAAAUAUGAACCUGGAUAAGCAGGGAGUGGGUCUGGAGCCAGGCGUGUUUCUCCCUCAGUGUGAGGAGCAUGACAGCUCUGUUUGCUCCUCUAACUCUAGGGCUCCAAGAAGCAGAGGUGCCUGAGCUCUGCCCCGCCAUGGAGAGGGGGCAGCCGCUACCUACCAUUCCCAGGCAGCCCUCGCAGCUUUAGAGCUGGGUGUCUUCUCUUUCUCUUACCUCUUCAGCCAAGGACCUGGACUAGUACUAUUGCUCUGCUCUACCACCACAGACCAGCGCAUCUUCUCAUCUGCUUUCAAGCAGUUGUCCAGGUCUUCAGUAGCCUGGCAUCCUGGUACCCUCACAGUGAAGGAUGUGCCUCCAUCUUCAGUGAAGGACAUGCCUCCACACUCUCACCUAAGGCAUAUGCCAGGUCACCUCAGGGUGGCACCCAGCAUGGGGACCAGGGCACCUCUGCAGGACCAGACACAGAGCUGCAACAUUACAGGUCAGGGUUACAGACCCUGUCGUCCCCCUAUAUCACGACACCUCCCUCCAGACCCGAUGCUCCACACAAGGAGCCUUUCCCACCAACAGCUCCCAAGGAGUGUCCAGACACAGAAACUGGGAGGGGGAUAAAACAUGCUGGUGGUUUUCAUUAUCUUAAGAAGCUGAUAUAACAUCAGUAUUGGUUACCUACAAACAACUAAUGGAUGAGUCAGUUCCUCAGGUAAUUACAUCCCAGUAUGGUUAUUGCUGUCUCUUUCCCAGGGACCAUCCAGCCUGUCUCUGCAUUUGCUCACCAGACUCAACUACUCCUCCAUAUAUCCUAACACAAGUAUUUCAGCAGUACUGAUGUCCUCUCUUCAUCUUGCCUCCCCAUCCAGCAACUGCUUUCAUAGUUUCCCUCUUCCUGAACUAGGCCAGGUUGGGGGUGGUUUGGCCGUGAUCUUCAGGGGCUGAAAGUUGCUGUUUGCAGAGUGGUAUUUCCAGACUUCCAGUCCCCCUCGUUUCUCCCGUUCAUGGUGAGGGAAGAGGUUCAGCUCAGCUCCUCUGGAUUUGCAAUGAAUUAUCUCAACGCUUGCAACAGUUGUGCAGCAGCAGGAAGAGCUGCCCAGGGAAGAUAGUGCUUUGGACACAUGCUGAUGUGGAUGUUACAUGCUGCGAUGGUUUUCCCUACCUCCUGCUUUCUAUUAUUUAGAAAACCUUCCCCAAU
Molecule: long non-coding RNA, 1230 nt
Filed under: Apteryx owenii (little spotted kiwi)
Lineage: Eukaryota; Metazoa; Chordata; Aves; Apterygiformes; Apterygidae
Description: lncRNA (ENSAOWG00000001171.1)
Source: RNAcentral